Molecule: small RNA, 448 nt
Filed under: Pan troglodytes (chimpanzee)
Lineage: Eukaryota; Metazoa; Chordata; Mammalia; Primates; Hominidae
Description: retained intron
Source: RNAcentral
ACUUGCCUGGACGCUGCGCCACAUCCCACCGGCCCUUACACUGUGGUGUCCAGCAGCAUCCGGCUUCAUGGGGGGACUUGAACCCUGCAGCAGGCUCCUGCUCCUGCCUCUCCUGCUGGCUGUAGGUGGUCUCCGUCCUGUCCAGGCCCAGGCCCAGAGCGAUUGCAGUUGCUCUACGGUAAGCCCGGGCGUGCUGGCAGGGAUCGUGAUGGGAGACCUGGUGCUGACAGUGCUCAUUGCCCUGGCCGUGUACUUCCUGGGCCGGCUGGUCCAUCGGGGGCGAGGGGCUGCGGAGGGUGAGUGGGGCUAGCAGGGGACAUCCUGAGGACUUGCCUAGAUGGGGGUGGGGGCCUGGGUAAACUCUCAGAUCUCAAACAUCCAAAGGGAUGGAAAUGGAGGUGUUGAUUUGGAAUGACAAAACACCCUCAACUCACCACUCUGCCUGUCU